GAUGAAGAACGUAGCGAAAUGCGAUAAGUAAUGUGAAUUGCAGAAUUCAGUGAAUCAUCGAAUCUUUGAACGCACAUUGCGCCCGGCAGUAAUCUGCCGGGCAUGCCUGUCCGAGCGUCAUUUCACCCCUCGAGCCGCUUUUAGUGGAUCGGUGUUGGGGCACUACGGUAAAACGUAGGCCCUGAAAUGAAGUGGCGGUCCCGCCGCGGUGCCCCCAUGCGUAGUAACGUUUAGUCUCGCAUCGGGUCCCGGCGGAGGCCUGCCGUCAAGCCUAUUUAUUCUCAGAAUAGUUUGACCUCGGAUCAGGUAGGGUUACCCGCUGAACUUAAGCAUAUCAAUAAGCGGAGGA
Molecule: unclassified non-coding RNA, 349 nt
Filed under: soil metagenome
Description: partial contains 5.8S ribosomal RNA, internal transcribed spacer 2, and large subunit ribosomal RNA
Rfam family: 5.8S ribosomal RNA (bases 1-120)
Source: RNAcentral